This 201-nucleotide ribosomal RNA is filed under the name uncultured bacterium. RNAcentral's name for it is "partial 16S ribosomal RNA". It matches the Rfam family "Bacterial small subunit ribosomal RNA", at positions 1300 to 1500 of the family's 1533-position model. The record is from RNAcentral.
GCAGGCUGCAACUCGCCUGCAUGAAGUUGGAAUUGCUAGUAAUCGCGAAUCAGAAUGUCGCGGUGAAUACGUUCCCGGGCCUUGUACACACCGCCCGUCACACCAUGAGAGUCGAUAACACCCGAAGCCUGUGAGCUAACCGCAAGGAGGCAGCAGUCGAAGGUGGGGUUGAUGAUUGGGGUGAAGUCGUAACAAGGUAAC